AGGUAAUAGAUACCCGGGUAGUCCAUGCCGUAAACGUUGGGCACUAGGUGUGGGGGACAUUCCACGUUUUCCGCGCCGUAGCUAAACGCAUUAAAGUGCCCCGCCUGGGGAGUACGGCCGCAAGGCUAAAACUCAAAGGAAUUGACGGGGGCCCGCACAAGCGGCGGAGCAUGCGGAUUAAUUCGAUGCAACGCGAAGAACCUUACCAAGGCUUGACAUGAACCAGACCGGGCUGGAAACAGUCCUUCCCUUGUGGGUUGGUUUACAGGUGGUGCAUGGUUGUCGUCAGCUCGUGUCGUGAGAUGUUGGGUUAAGUCCCGCAACGAGCGCAACCCUCGUUCUAUGUUGCCAGCACGUGAUGGUGGGGACUCAUAGGAGACUGCCGGGGUCAACUCGGAGGAAGGUGGGGACGACGUCAAAUCAUCAUGCCCCUUAUGUCUUGGG
This 444-nucleotide ribosomal RNA is filed under the name uncultured bacterium. RNAcentral describes it as "bacterial SSU rRNA". It matches the Rfam family "Bacterial small subunit ribosomal RNA", at positions 774 to 1213 of the family's 1533-position model. The record is from RNAcentral.